ACUCCUACGGGAGGCAGCAGUGGGGAAUAUUGCACAAUGGGCGCAAGCCUGAUGCAGCGACGCCGCGUGGGGGAUGACGGCCUUCGGGUUGUAAACCUCUUUCACCAUCGGCGAAGUCGGGGUGACGGUAGGUGGAGAAGAAGCACCGGCCAACUACGUGCCAGCAGCCGCGGUAAUACGUAGGGUGCGAGCGUUGUCCGGAAUUACUGGGCGUAAAGAGCUCGUAGGUGGUUUGUCGCGUUGUCCGUGAAAUUCCCUGGCUUAACUGGGGGCGUGCGGGCGAUACGGGCAGACUAGAGUACUGCAGGGGAGACUGGAAUUCCUGGUGUAGCGGUGGAAUGCGCAGAUAUCAGGAGGAACACCGGUGGCGAAGGCGGGUCUCUGGGCAGUAACUGACGCUGAGGAGCGAAAGCGUGGGGAGCGAACAGGAUUAGAUACCCUGGUAGUCCACGCCGUAAACGGUGGGUACUAGGUGUGGGUUUCCUUCCUUGGGAUCCGUGCCGUAGCUAACGCAUUAAGUACCCCGCCUGGGGAGUACGGCCGCAAGGCUAAAACUCAAAGAAAUUGACGGGGGCCCGCACAAGCGGCGGAGCAUGUGGAUUAAUUCGAUGCAACGCGAAGAACCUUACCUGGGUUUGACAUGCACAGGACGACGGUAGAGAUAUCGUUUCCCUUGUGGCCUGUGUGCAGGUGGUGCAUGGCUGUCGUCAGCUCGUGUCGUGAGAUGUUGGGUUAAGUCCCGCAACGAGCGCAACCCUUAUUUCAUGUUGCCAGCGCGUAAUGGCGGGGACUCGUGAGAGACUGCCGGGGUCAACUCGGA
Molecule: ribosomal RNA, 820 nt
Filed under: uncultured Actinomycetes bacterium
Lineage: Bacteria; Bacillati; Actinomycetota; Actinomycetes
Description: bacterial SSU rRNA
Rfam family: Bacterial small subunit ribosomal RNA
Source: RNAcentral